This 548-nucleotide ribosomal RNA is filed under the name Saccharomyces sp. LCF-05. RNAcentral's name for it is "eukaryotic LSU rRNA". It matches the Rfam family "Eukaryotic large subunit ribosomal RNA", at positions 89 to 650 of the family's 3401-position model. The record is from RNAcentral. Lineage: Eukaryota; Fungi; Ascomycota; Saccharomycetes; Saccharomycetales; Saccharomycetaceae.
GCGAGUGAAGCGGCAAAAGCUCAAAUUUGAAAUCUGGUACCUUCGGUGCCCGAGUUGUAAUUUGUAGAGGGUGACUUUGGAUGCGUUCCCUGUCUAUGUUCCUUGGAACAGGACGUCAUGGAGGGUGAGAAUCCCGUGUGGCGGGGGCCGCGUGUCUAUGUAAAGUGCCUUCGAAGAGUCGAGUUGUUUGGGAAUGCAGCUCUAAGUGGGUGGUAAAUUCCAUCUAAAGCUAAAUACAGGCGAGAGACCGAUAGCGAACAAGUACAGUGAUGGAAAGAUGAAAAGAACUUUGAAAAGAGAGUGAAAAAGUACGUGAAAUUGUUGAAAGGGAAGGGCAUUUGAUCAGACAUGGUGUUUUGCGCCCUCUGCUCCUUGUGGGUGGGGGACUCUCGCAGCUCACUGGGCCAGCAUCGGUUUUGGCGGCAGGACAAAACCUCAGGAACGUAGCUUGCUUCGGGAAGUGUUAUAGCCUGGGGGAAUACUGCCAGCCGGGACCGAGGAAUGCGACUUUUAGUCAAGGAUGCUGGCAUAAUGGUUAUAUGCCGCCC